RNAcentral lists this ribosomal RNA (253 nucleotides) under uncultured bacterium. RNAcentral describes it as "partial 16S ribosomal RNA". It matches the Rfam family "Bacterial small subunit ribosomal RNA", at positions 524 to 776 of the family's 1533-position model. The record is from RNAcentral.
UACGUAGGGUGCGAGCGUUAAUCGGAAUUACUGGGCGUAAAGCGUGCGCAGGCGGCGCGUUAAGUCAGGUGUGAAAGCCCUGAGCUUAACUUGGGAAUUGCGCUUGUGACUGGCGUGCUGGAGUGUGGCAGAGGGAGGUGGAAUUCCACGUGUAGCAGUGAAAUGCGUAGAGAUGUGGAGGAACACCGAUGGCGAAGGCAGCCUCCUGGGCCAGCACUGACGCUGAGGAGCGAAAGUGUGGGGAGCGAACAGG